UAAUGUCUGCAAUAAACAUUCAUUGCUGUCGGUGGGUUUUUAUCUCAAUCAACUCACUGAUCAAUGAAUGCAAACUGCGGAUCA
MicroRNA precursor from Notamacropus eugenii (tammar wallaby), 84 nucleotides. Ensembl annotates it as microRNA 181b-2. Its record names the gene MIR181B2. NCBI's taxonomy places the organism in Eukaryota, Metazoa, Chordata, Mammalia, Diprotodontia, Macropodidae. The record is from Ensembl.